UACGGAAGGCAGCAGUGGGGAAUAUUGCACAAUGGGCGAAAGCCUGAUGCAGCUAUGCCGCGUGUAUGAAGAAGGCCUUAGGGUUGUAAAGUACUUUCAUCGGGGAGGAAAAAACAAAACUAAUAAUUUUAUUUCUUGACGUUACCCGAAAAAGAAGCACCGGCUAACUCCGUGCCAGCAGCCGCGGUAAUACGGAGGGUGCUAGCGUUAAUCAGAAUUACUGGGCGUAAAGAGCGCGUAGGUGGUUUUUUUAAAGUCAGAUGUGAAUCCCUGGGCUUAACCUAGGAACUGCAUUUUGAAACUGAAAUACUAGAGUAUCGUAGAGGGAGGUAGAAUUCUAGGUGUAGCGGUGAAAUGCGUAGAUAUCUGGAGGAAUACCUGUGGCGAAAGCGGCCUCCUAAACGAAUACUGACACUGAGGGUGCGAAAGCGUGGGGAGCAAACAGGGAUUAGAUACC
RNAcentral lists this ribosomal RNA (457 nucleotides) under uncultured bacterium. RNAcentral's name for it is "bacterial SSU rRNA". It matches the Rfam family "Bacterial small subunit ribosomal RNA", at positions 340 to 786 of the family's 1533-position model. The record is from RNAcentral.